This 451-nucleotide long non-coding RNA is filed under the name Anser cygnoides (Swan goose). Its description in RNAcentral is "lncRNA (ENSACDG00005007265.1)". The record is from RNAcentral. Lineage: Eukaryota; Metazoa; Chordata; Aves; Anseriformes; Anatidae.
AUGCCAAUAAAAGGAUAUUUUGUUAAAAAUAUGCAUGUUCAUGCAACAGAAUCAUCACUGUUAAAGAUAUCUACUUCCUAUGUCACAGAAGCUUCUGAACAAGAAACAGCAGCAGCUGAAUCAAAAACAGUAACAACCAACCCAGAAACUGGGUUCAGUCCCGUUCCAGAAGAAAGUUCGUUAUAUGUAGCAGCAACCAGCAUUUCCCUUGUGAUCAUCUUGAUUUGUAUAAUUGUUUUUCUUUGGUUUAAAUGGAAAUUGUCUAAGGGAAGUUCAGCUGAAAUUAAUCCUGUCCCCUCCAGUGAAGCUGUGGUGACCUUAAAAAAUACCAAGUUAUGAGAACCAAUGAGGAAAGAAGAAAUGAAAGUCCUCUCAGAUGAUGGCUAUUUAAAGGGCUCUUCCACAAGAGCAGUAUAUUCAAAAAAUAAAUUCUCGAAACUAGAGAGAUCCA